AGAAAAGGAAACGAAAGGGAGAGGGAGUAAAGGCAAGACCAAAUUGCACAGUCCAUGGUGACAGGUAUCAUGAGACGCUUCCCAUCCCACGGACCCCUGGAAGUUCAGGUAGGGUAUUGAUAUCUUACCCAGCCCUUUAAUAAAUUGAUCAACAAAGAAGGUCAAGCUAAGGGAACACAGGAGGGACAGUAUUGGAUUGAAGAUGACUCCUGGUGGCAUAUGCGUCCUGUACGAUGAAAACCUGUCUGAAACUCCGAGGUCCACUGAAGAAAGAAUCUGGUUCAAUGUCCACAAAGCAGUGACCCAAUAGGCCGAGGUCAGGAAACGACGAGGGUGACUGACAGAGCACGGGCAUUCCAGCGUUUUCCUGGUGUUAGCCCAAUGGGAAAAUGUGAGCACCCGUCCGGCAGUAUCAGAGAACUGAAUCUAGAGAGAAAGGGAGUGAAGGCAUUUGCCAGGUCCUUGGUGACCCUCAUGGUAUGCCGCAUGCCAGGCUAUGGCCAGGUGUGUGUGUGGAAGCCGCGAGCCUGGAGAAUGGCUGUGCCAUUGGGUCUCCUCCUCUUGGCUUUGUACUCCUCAGUGUGCAGCCGCCGGACCCGAAGGCCGGCUCCUUCCUGGAUGAGCAGGCGAGGAUGGCAGCGUUGUCUUUGGAGCCAGGGGACCAGUGGUGGAAGCCGAAGGCCAGGCCAGGCUGCGUGGGGCCGAGACCCCUCCUCUGGCGGUGGUGGCAGGAGAGAUCCCAAGGUGAGUCAUGGCCCCAUGCUGCUGUCUCAGUUUGGGUCAUUGGGAUAAGGGUUUUCAUUGUCUUCUUACAAAAUAGUAAAUGUAAUCAAAAUUUAACUAUGGUCUAUUGAUA
RNAcentral lists this long non-coding RNA (856 nucleotides) under Sus scrofa (pig). Its description in RNAcentral is "lncRNA (ENSSSCG00030003288.1)". The stretch from base 193 to 264 matches the Rfam family "Small nucleolar RNA SNORD113/SNORD114 family". The record is from RNAcentral. Lineage: Eukaryota; Metazoa; Chordata; Mammalia; Artiodactyla; Suidae.